Dendrobium catenatum is the source of this 158-nucleotide small nuclear RNA. RefSeq annotates it as U1 spliceosomal RNA. The transcript has a single exon. NCBI's taxonomy places the organism in Eukaryota, Viridiplantae, Streptophyta, Magnoliopsida, Asparagales, Orchidaceae. The record is from RefSeq and is a predicted model, not a curated record.
AGCAAUAUCUGGACGGGGUUAACGGGUGAUCAGCAAUGUCUGUGGCCUAGAUCCGCAAUCUUCAUUGCACUUUGAAGAGUGCUGAUUUAUCAUCUGCCCAAAUAAUAGAAUGGACGUCAUAAUUUGUGAAAUAUGCAUAGAGUGAAUUCAUGUUUGAA